UACGUAGGGGGCAAGCGUUGUCCGGAAUUAUUGGGCGUAAAGAGCGUGUAGGCGGUCCGGUAAGUCCGCUGUGAAAGUCGGGGGCUCAACCCUCGGAUGCCGGUGGAUACUGUCGGGCUUGAGUACGGAAGAGGCGAGUGGAAUUCCUGGUGUAGCGGUGAAAUGCGCAGAUAUCAGGAGGAACACCAAUUGCGAAGGCAGCUCGCUGGGCCUGUACUGACGCUGAGGAGCGAAAGCGUGGGGAGCGAACAGG
Molecule: ribosomal RNA, 253 nt
Filed under: uncultured bacterium
Lineage: Bacteria
Description: partial 16S ribosomal RNA
Rfam family: Bacterial small subunit ribosomal RNA
Source: RNAcentral